AGCAGCCGCGGUAAUUCCAGCUCCAAUAGCGUAUAUUAAAGUUGUUGCAGUUAAAAAGCUCGUAGUUGAAUUUCGGGAUUGGCGCAUCAGUCGUGCCUCACGGGGUAUGAACUGGUGCAGUCAAUUUCUCACCUUCUGGAGAACCGCGAUGUCCUUAAUUGGGUGCCGCGGGGAACCAGGACCUUUUACUUUGAAAAAUUAGAGUGUUUAAAGCAGGCAUUUUUGCUUGAAUACAUUAGCAUGGAAUAAUAAAAUAGGACGGCAUGGUUCUAUUUUGUUGGUUUCUAGGACCACCGUAAUGAUUAAUAGGGAUAGUUGGGGCAUUAGUAUUCAAUUGUCAGAGGUGAAAAUUCUUAGGAUUUAUUGAAGACUAACUACUGCGAAAGCAUUUGCC
This 394-nucleotide ribosomal RNA is filed under the name uncultured Entrophospora. Its description in RNAcentral is "SSU rRNA". It matches the Rfam family "Eukaryotic small subunit ribosomal RNA", at positions 569 to 959 of the family's 1831-position model. The record is from RNAcentral. Lineage: Eukaryota; Fungi; Glomeromycota; Glomeromycetes; Entrophosporales; Entrophosporaceae.